GUGAAUUGCUUAUUCGUUAAGACGUUCUUCUGAUGCAAUCUACAGAAAGUUUCUUUUGAGACACUUUUUUCUUCUUUCAUGUAUUUUCUGCAGCUGUUUUCUGUUUUCUGUGAUUAGUGGCCAUUUCUCUUUUUGCUUUUAAAGGAGAGUAACAGUUCAGCUAUGCCACUGCCUUCCUCUGCAUCCCUGGAGGAAAACUGGUGGGGUAUUGGAAAAACACAGAGUUAAAUAUUAACAUGAACUACUAAAUGUUCUCACUCCAAAAAGUCAGGAACACUUCCAAGCACUGAAAGCAGACUUUCCUUUCCUGUAGUUAAAUUCUGCUGCUUAACUUCCAAAACUACAGCUUGCUUGGUCAUUAUUUUAACAUGGCUAAACAUGAAACAUCAGGCUGCUUCUGCUUCCCAGGUGAUAGAGAUAGGGAAGGAAUCUCAUGCAGACACUUAAUGCUGAGACAUAUAAUAAGUUUUUUUUUCUGAGUAAGGGGUUGAUUUUUCCCCCCCUUGUGCUUAGAAGUACAGGUUCCAUUGUUUGCACUUUUAGUCAGAAAGGCAGUGUUAAUAAACACUGUGAUUUGGUAUCGAUGCUGUAGUAACCCCAUAAGGCGUAAUCUGAACACAUAUAGCCAUCCCCUUUCUUAUUAGCUGAGGACUUCUGACAGAUCUCAGAGUUUCCAACCUCUUAAUAAAUCUCUUCCAUGUCUAGCCUAAAUCUGCUGGCUUGUUCUUUUAUUUUCUUCCCCAUUUGUUUUUUUAAACUGGCAACAGCAAGAUUUUAUAUUAGAUAAUCAUUUCGGACUUGCAUUGGAAUAUUUAGUUAGCAGAGUUUCUAACUAUUAAUGGCAAAGUCUGCUGUGGGAGCGCAUGGACUAGACAGAAUCCAUUGUGCUUUCAGCAAGGCUUUUUAUUUGUUUUUAAUCUAAUUCAGGAAAUGCAGUUCUGUAAAGCCAGUAAUUAUUUCCCUUAGUAAUUCAUAUUUUGCUGAAAAAUCAAUCCCUCACAUGAGAAGCCAGGAGAGUACCAUAUGUUAUCCAUUAUAUGCUUCUCAUCAUCUCUCCUAACUCUUCAGUGUAGUAAGCAAAAUGAUUUUAACUUGACAAAAUUGUGUGUCCUCCCUAGGGCAAGGGUUGUAGUCCUGCUCUACAUCAACUGGUGUAUCGGGAACAGUAGAGCCCAUGGCCCUGAAGUGGAAGGGCUGCAUUGGUUAAUAUAAUACUUAUGGGAUGGCGCUGUUGAACCUUCUGUCUGUAUGUGGAAGAACUGUGUGUGGCAAUAUGGAGUUAAUCCUUCAGAAAGAAAAUGAUGGGUUUUGUUUUAAUGCUGAUUACUUGCACAGUAGCAUCAUGAAGUGAGAGAGGUCCUGGCAUUUGUAUGAGGCACGUGCUUCUGCCCACGAACUGCCAGUGAGAUAAGUCAAUAAAACAAGCCAUGCAAGGCAGAGAUUGCUUAGAGGUGGUGGAGACCUAUUAGGCUAUCUCACCCUCCUGCAUGCCAGAAAGGAAUUGUUUCAUUUGGAUUUGCAUUAAAGGACAGAGGAACAGCUGAGUAAAGCACAGGAUAACAUUGCUGUGUGAUGGGGUUGGAGCUCUGCUGUACUUCAGUUCUUGCAUUUGCAUCUGCCUUUGCACCAUGUAAGCAGCAAUAGCCAACCAGUUUUUCUUUCCAGGCUGAGAACGAGAAGAAAAGACAAAAAUCAGUGAGUAUAUCUUUGUGUGCGCGUGUGUUUGACAGACGUCUGCCCAUGUUACACCAGUAGUGAGGAGUCAAUGGCUACUCUGCCUGCCCACAGGGAGGGGAUGUUACAGAGCCAACACACUGCAAAGAGAACAAAGGCCGCUCUGCAUCGUGGCUGUGUGCAGCACGCUGCUAGUGCAGAGCAAGCGACCAUUUCCUAUUACAGCAGUGUCUCCAUGCAAGGCUGCGACACAAAGUGAUUCAACUCUCUGGGAUCUGCUGCGUGCUGUUCUGGCACUGACACGGGAGGUCUCUGUGGUCAAAAAGGCUGACAAGCGUAUUGGUGCUGCUGCUUUAAGCAGCUUCAUCUGGUGACUGGACAGGGAAUUGCAGGCACAUUUGUUUCAUUGCAUUAAUUUCUUGCAUUAUUCCCCUUUUGUCUGUUAUUGUUUCUUUACCACUAUUUGUGUUUCAAUAGGAAAAGAAUUCUGUGGUGAACUAUGUGCAUGUCCUACUUCUGUUCAGGCCUGACAUGUUUAUAUAUACAAAGAGUUAUGGAUGAAUUAAAGAGGACCAAAGAAGCUCAGAAAUUCUUUGGAAAAGCUUGUCAAAUUUUUAAUUAAUGGGCACGUAGCAGAGGGAGUGAAAUCUGUUGCUUAAUACCAUAAUAGGCAGUGCAGUGCCUGUGCCUCUUUCUGCCAUCCUUAACAGACGGAUUUAUUUUUGGUAAUGAGACAUUUAUCUCCUUUGCAUCUAUUAAAAGCCAAUUCCAGUGUCAGAAAAAUCAGUUGGAAAUAAUAUGAAAAAAUGUAGUGAUGAAAUGUGCCUGCGUUUUCUGUAUGCUUCUCAGAGCUCUGACAAAUCUUUUUUCACUUCAGCUUAGUUUAUUUUUGUUUAUUUUUGUCUUGCUGCAGUUCACGUUUCCAGACAAUUAAGGUGUUAUCUUGAUAGCACCAAAUAAUGCUGUGAAUAUUUAGAUUGUGUAAAGAGGCUUAAUGGAAUUACUUGCAGGCCGGUAAUUAAUAUACUGUCGGUGUAAAUGAGUGGUUUUGAACUUUUUCUCUGUAUGUGGACUCUAGACUUGUUUUGUUGGAUCCUGAUCCCCUCUGUACCUGUCUUAACCCUAUUGCCAGCAGGCUUGCUUUUAUUCGUGGACAUCUUUGCACACAGAAAAAACCCAACACUGAUAAAUAUCAGUGGUAAGUGGCAGCCUGGAUCAGCUCCACUGGUGCCAUGGAGAAGGAGUCCACACAGAAAUAACUGCAGAAAAGAGUGCCUGUUUCUUUGAGUAAUAAAUAAAUAUGGGUUGUGCAUGCAUUUCUCACUCUGAUUUGAGGCAAUUUAAUUAGGAAGGUGUUUUCACACUUGUGGACUGGGUCGUUAAUUUAAUUCUUAAGCAGAUCAGCAAGCAGACAGCUUUUCUUAAUCUGUCCAUAGAGGAGCUCAUGUGUACUCUAGAUGAACACAAUGGAUUUUUGUAGGAAUUUGUGUGAAAUCUUGUGGGAUUUAUUAGAUACCCCUUAAUAGAUUUUCAAGCUUCUGUUGGAUUUUGCAGGUGGGAUGUAAUUUUCCUAGUGAGAUCUGUAGUGCUUGACAACUGAUGAAAAACCAACAGCUUUCUUUCAGGUUUGCAAAUAAGCAUUUAUUAAACAAGAUGUUUGGUGCCUCUGCAUCUCCAUUUUGUUUGCUGUAGUGAAGAGGAAAUGGCCAGGAUAUCAGAAAGGCUGAGUGAUACAAAGUGACCCAGAAACUUAUUCCAGGAAGUUUAUUUUCAGAAAGUGUUGAGUAUUCAAACUUUGAAAACCCUUUAAAGUAUCUGUGAUCCACACCAGACUUUCAGUCUUGGUUGAUAGGCAUCUCAUAAAGGUGGCUUAAGACUAAAUGGAUCGAUAUACAAAAUGCUUUGACUUUUUAGCUGAUAAAGUGCUAAUUAUAAGUAAGUACUAUAACCCAUCUAGUAACGGACUCACAG
This 3645-nucleotide long non-coding RNA is filed under the name Gallus gallus (chicken). Lineage: Eukaryota; Metazoa; Chordata; Aves; Galliformes; Phasianidae. The record is from RNAcentral.